GGCCGCGAAUUCGCCCAUUUCUGCCUUGUAGUGGGGGAUAGCCCGGAGAAAUUCGGAUUAAUACCGCAUACGCCCUAAGGGGGAAAACAGGGGAUCUUCGGACCUUGUGCUAUUAGAUGAGCCUGCGUUAGAUUAGCUAGUUGGUGGGGUAAGAGCUCACCAAGGCGACGAUCUAUAGCUGGUCUGAGAGGAUGAUCAGCCACAUCGGGACUGAGACACGGCCCGGACUCCUACGGGAGGCAGCAGUGGGGAAUAUUGGACAAUGGACGAAAGUCUGAUCCAGCAAUGCCGCGUGUGUGAAGAAGGCCUGAGGGUUGUAAAGCACUUUCAAUUGUGAAGAAGGGAUUAGUAUUAAUAGUGCUGAUCUUUGACGUUAACUUUAGAAGAAGCACCGGCUAACUCCGUGCCAGCAGCCGCGGUAAUACGGAGGGUGCAAGCGUUAAUCGGAAUUACUGGGCGUAAAGCGCGCGUAGGCGGUUAGUUAAGUCAGAUGUGAAAGCCCCGGGCUCAACCUGGGAAUUGCCUCUGAUACUGGCUAACUAGAGUUUGGAAGAGGGGAGUAGAAUUUCAGGUGUAGCGGUGAAAUGCAUAGAGAUCUGAAGGAAUACCAGUGGCGAAGGCGACUCCCUGGUCCAGAACUGACGCUGAGGUGCGAAAGCGUGGGUAGCAAACGGGAUUAGAUACCCCGGUAGUCCACGCUGUAAACGAUGUCAACUAGCCGUUGGGCGCCUUGUGCGCUUAGUGGCGCAGCUAACGCAUUAAGUUGACCGCCUGGGGAGUACGGUCGCAAGACUAAAACUCAAAGGAAUUG
Molecule: ribosomal RNA, 811 nt
Filed under: uncultured Leucothrix sp.
Lineage: Bacteria; Pseudomonadati; Pseudomonadota; Gammaproteobacteria; Thiotrichales; Thiotrichaceae
Description: bacterial SSU rRNA
Rfam family: Bacterial small subunit ribosomal RNA
Source: RNAcentral